UUUCCGUAGGUGAACCUGCGGAAGGAUCAUUACAGAGCUUCGAAGCCUAAGGAAAAGCAGCCGAAAGGUGAACUAUCCUUAGGAUUGAGAUCUCCACCCUUUGUUUACAUUACCUUUGUUGCUUUAGCAGGCCCGCUCUCGGGCCGCCGGCUUAGGCUGGCCAGUGCCUGCUAGAGGACCUAAAACUCUUGUUAAUAAUAUUGUCUGAGUACUAUAUAAUAGUUAAAACUUUCAACAACGGAUCUCUUGGUUCUG
This 255-nucleotide unclassified non-coding RNA is filed under the name plant metagenome. RNAcentral describes it as "partial contains small subunit ribosomal RNA, internal transcribed spacer 1, and 5.8S ribosomal RNA". The record is from RNAcentral.